This 2246-nucleotide long non-coding RNA is filed under the name Homo sapiens (human). RNAcentral describes it as "HSALNT0199891". The record is from RNAcentral. Lineage: Eukaryota; Metazoa; Chordata; Mammalia; Primates; Hominidae.
UUUCAACAGAAACUUUUACAUCUCUUGGAGAGACAUCUUCCACCCUGAAUCGUACAAAUAAAUUAAGAACAUCUUUUACUGGAGUCAGACAAAGUUGGACAACUUUUCCCAUUUACAGAGUACGUGACUAUGGAUAAAGUACUUAACCUCUCAGUGACUCGGUUUAAAAUGGAAAUAGCAAUGUUAUCUGCCUCUCAGGGCUGUUAUGAAGAUUCAAUGAGAUAAUGCUCAUGACAUGGAUAACCUUGGAUGUGGCUUUGUUUAAGCCCCGCAGAGACAUUGGCACUACUGCUGUGGUGGCUGCUGCUCUGUGUCCAAGGGCCUUUCAUUUUGUAUUUAAGGAUGGGGGAGAAGGAGUAGGUACAGGUGGGUGGUCAGCACCAGAAGCUUACACGUGACUAGUGUGUGUCUGUAAUAAAAAGGAAAAUAAGCCGUGAAUUGAAGAAAGAAGAUUAACAUUAAUGUUGUCUACAAAGGCCAGAAAACCAACAGAGAUUUACAACAACAACAACAGCAACAAGAAACCCUAGAAAAUAUUGAUUAGGUUCUGCAAAAGUAAAUAAAAAUAGUGUCAGUCAGCUAGCCGCUAAUUCUAAGCAGUCCUAUCCCCCAGCGUAGGACAGAAACGAUUCUGCAUAUCAUUAAUACAUAACAGAUUCAUUUUGCUGUAAGUUUAAUUUGAUUACUUCACUAAAUUCUGUUAUUAAUACUCAGCCUUCUGCUGCUCGUGUAGCAGGGCCCCCUGUUCAUGAUUUUUAGAAAUAAAAGGAUGUAUUUGCUCAAUAUCCACCCAGAAGGAAGGGACAUGAUGUCUCCCUACAGCUAGGAUGAGAACGGGCUACUGUGGAACGUGAAGGGGAGAAGGCACGGUGGGCGCUGCUCUGGGACAGAGAUGCUAAUGCCAACAGAGCCACUUCCCGCCAACCUAAGGUGGGGAGUGAUCCCCUCAUAUGCAUUUCACAGGUCCAGUCAGAUAACAAAAUCCUCUCCAAGUCCUUCCACAAACAGAAUUGAAUAAAAGAAAUGGGUUACAAAGGUGAUGAGUUGAGAUGGCAAAAAAUAAAACUUGGAAUAGCAGCAUCCAGUCACCACCAUGAAUCUAAGGGUGGAGUGGCAAGAGGAUGGGGUAGCCUUCAUUCCCAGAGCCCAAGAGCAGGAAACAAAACUGUGGGAGAGGGUGGCACAUGGUAGGUGUUAGAACCUCAGGGAGAGGUACUACUGACCAGUGUUAGAGCCAUGAGGAAGAUGCAGCUGCUGCCAGAUCUGCAGAUGGCUCCAAAGCUGAGCAAGAUGGAAAAACCUACCCUAUUUUUCCCUCUUCCAGCCUUGCAGCCUUCUGCCAAUGCCUCCCAUUGGCCAAAACUACCAGGAAGCCAGUCUUAAGGGAGCCUAGGAAAGGUAGUUUCCUAGGAUACAAGGCAAAAGCAGCGAAAGGAACAGAAUGGAGCUGAUGAAAGCAAACAGGCCAGCACAUCAUGUUUGAUUGAAACACUUUGUGAAAACUGACCUGUGGUUGGAUGUGAGUUAAGCUGAACACCCUUACCCAGGAAGCCCACAGAGAGCAGAAACAGCCAAGUCACACCCCAGACCCCUCAGUCUAGCCAAGUCAUGGAAGUCCCCACUGGUGAAAGACAAGGAACUCUGGGUUAAGGAGACUUUUUCUCUCCGCUCACUGUUCUCUGUUGUCUCCUCUCUGAAAACAACUAUGUGUUAAUUGAUGGUUAUCAGAGUUGAAAUAGAUAAUAACAUAUUCAUACAAUGCAAUCUAAUUUGCUUAAAUCAAUGGUCCUUUGUUUCGGAUUAUCCAUUCAAAGCUUUUCCUCAUCAUCCUUAAUAAUUGAAAGUUACACCUCAUGAUUCUCAGAAUAAUUAACUUCUUAGAUUUCUGACUUUACGACUAAUACAGCUUUGUAAUAAGAACAUGUUAGAUUUGUAUAGAUCUUUGCAGCUAUGGCUCCCAGUCACGUGCAUUAUCCCAUUUUGCUUUAUACUCUGAGGGUCUGAAGUGAGGGAGAGAGAACUAGCAUUUGUUGAAUAUUGAUGAUGUGCCAGGCACUGUGUCGAGAACUUUCCAAGGAUUAAUUCAGUUAAUCAUCACAACACCCCAAUGAGGCUGAUAUUAUUAUUCCCAUCUUACAGACGAGGCAACUCACUUGCAGGGAACUGUUCUGUUUAAGAUCACACAGCCAAGUCCAGGACCCUAUCAGAGUAAAAAACUUACACCCACACACGCCCCUAUCACACAC